This 602-nucleotide ribosomal RNA is filed under the name Cadophora fastigiata. RNAcentral's name for it is "eukaryotic LSU rRNA". The stretch from base 189 to 343 matches the Rfam family "5.8S ribosomal RNA". Lineage: Eukaryota; Fungi; Ascomycota; Leotiomycetes; Helotiales; Ploettnerulaceae. The record is from RNAcentral.
GUAGGGUCUCUCUGGCCCGACCUCCCAACCCUUUGUCUACUUGACCAUCGUUGCUUCGGCGAGCCCGUCCUCACGGACCGCCGGAGGGACCUUCACCGGCCCUCUGGUCCGCGCUCGUCGGUAGCCCAACCAUUAAAAUCUUUAACCAAACGUGCCUUAAUCUAAGUACAAUUAUUAAAUAAAAGCAAAACUUUCAACAACGGAUCUCUUGGUUCUGGCAUCGAUGAAGAACGCAGCGAAAUGCGAUAAGUAAUGCGAAUUGCAGAAUUCCAGUGAGUCAUCGAAUCUUUGAACGCACAUUGCGCCCUUUGGUAUUCCGAAGGGCAUGCCUGUUCGAGCGUCAUUAUCACCCCUCAAGCCCCUGGCUUGGUGUUGGACGGUUUGGUGGAGGCCCCCUCGGGGGCUCCUGCCCCUCCCAAAGACAAUGACGGCGGCCUCGUUGGACCCCCGGUACACUGAGUUCUUCACGGGACACGUAUCGGAUACAUGGGUUUACGGGACACGGUCUGCCUCCCCUCAGGGAGAAUCUUUCUAAGGUUGACCUCGGAUCAGGUAGGGAUACCCGCUGAACUUAAGCAUAUCAAUAAGCGGAGGGAAAAGAA